Molecule: small nuclear RNA, 204 nt
Filed under: Neotoma lepida (desert woodrat)
Lineage: Eukaryota; Metazoa; Chordata; Mammalia; Rodentia; Cricetidae
Description: 7SK RNA
Rfam family: 7SK RNA
About the family: 7SK was discovered as an abundant small nuclear RNA in the mid-70s but a possible function has only recently been suggested. Two independent studies have found that 7SK RNA binds the CDK9/cyclin T complex (known as elongation factor P-TEFb). P-TEFb activates transcription by phosphorylating the C-terminal domain of RNA polymerase II.
Source: Rfam by way of RNAcentral
GGAUGUCCCUUACUGCUCUGUGUGUGUCCCUCUAAAAGCUGUAUGCUCAACUGAAGAAGUUGACUUUUGCAGUAGAGAACUGAUCUUUGGUAGAGGGUCCAUGAAUAGUUACAUUCACCUGCUAGAACCUCUAAACCAGCUUUGAGUAGUCAAAAAACUCAGCUUUUAGGUGUGGUCUCAGCUCUAUUCCUAGGAAUAGGCAGU